GACGCUGGCGGUGCGCCUUAUGCAUGCAAGUCGAGCGAAGCUUUUCAGUAGUUUACUACAGAAAAUGACUGAGCGGCGAACGGGUGAGUAACGCGUGAGCAACCUACCUUAGUUACUGGGAUAGCCCGAGGAAACUCGGAUUAAUACCGGAUAUUCUUAUUUAAUCACAUGAUUUUUUAAGGAAAGGUCAGCCGAACUAAGAUGGGCUCGCGUUCUAUCAGCUAGUUGGUAGGGUAAUGGCCUACCAAGGCUACGACGGAUAGCUGGUCUGAGAGGACGAUCAGCCACACUGGGACUGAGACACGGCCCAGACUCCUACGGGAGGCUGCAGCAGGGAAUAUUGCGCAAUGAGCGAAAGCUUGACGCAGCGACACCGCGUGUGGGAUGACGGAUCUAGGUUUGUAAACCACUUUCAGGAGGGAAGAAAAUGACGGUACCUCCACAAGAAGCCCCGGCCAACUACGUGCCAGCAGCCGCGGUAAUACGUAGGGGGCGAGCGUUGUCCGGAUUUAUUGGGCGUAAAGAGCUCGUAGGCGGUUCAACAAGUCGGUCGUGAAAGUUCAGGGCUCAACCCUGAAAUGUCGAUCGAUACUGUUGUGACUAGGAUACGGUAGAGGUGAGUGGAAUUCCGAGUGUAGCGGUGAAAUGCGUAGAUAUUCGGAGGAACACCAAUUGCGAAGGCAGCUCACUGGGCCGCUAUCGACGCUGAGGAGCGAAAGCUAGGGGAGCAAACAGGAUUAGAUACCCUGGUAGUCCUAGCUGUAAACGAUGGAUACUAGACGUAGGAAUUGGAUUAACGAUUUCUGUGUCGUAGCUAACGCGUUAAGUAUCCCGCCU
Molecule: ribosomal RNA, 837 nt
Filed under: uncultured bacterium
Lineage: Bacteria
Description: bacterial SSU rRNA
Rfam family: Bacterial small subunit ribosomal RNA
Source: RNAcentral